GGGGGCGACACGGUUUCGACGGAAGCUGUCGCGACCAUGAGGCAUGCCGGGCGCCACCUGCCCGUAAUCGGGUGGAAACGAAAACUGCCAACUCUGAACUGGCACUUGCAGCUUAAUUAAUUAAGCCGCACGCUUCCUUCGGUUUCGCCUGCGGGCCGGAGAUGAAGCGUCAUACAGCAGGCUGGCCGCGGCGUUUCGGUCCGUAAUUCCGCAGCGAGAUCCAUCGGACUAGCCGGCUGCGUUUCUUGCUCCUUCUAAGCGCAGCGGGCGAACCCAAACCGAACGGGGCUAAGCAUGUAGUCUUCUGGCCGUUGCGCUUUUCGGACGGGGGUUCGACUCCCCCCGCCUCCACCA
Molecule: transfer-messenger RNA, 354 nt
Filed under: Terriglobia
Lineage: Bacteria; Pseudomonadati; Acidobacteriota
Also listed under: 1 other name
Description: JAIQGC01 sp020072805 Standard tmRNA
Rfam family: transfer-messenger RNA
About the family: Bacterial tmRNA, also known as 10Sa RNA or SsrA, is named for its dual tRNA and mRNA-like properties. Its role is to liberate the mRNA from a stalled ribosome.
Source: RNAcentral